UACAGAGGGUGCAAGCGUUGUUCGGAAUUACUGGGCGUAAAGGGCGCGUAGGCGGGAUGGCAAGUCGGUCGUGAAAUCCCUCGGCUCAACUGAGGAUCGUCGAUCGAUACUGCCGUUCUUGAGGAUUGCAGAGGAGACUGGAAUUCCCGGUGUAGCGGUGAAAUGUGUAGAGAUCGGGGGGAACACCGGUGGCGAAGGCGGGUCUCUGGGCAAUUCCUGACGCUGAGGCGCGAAAGCGUGGGGAGCAAACGGG
RNAcentral lists this ribosomal RNA (253 nucleotides) under uncultured bacterium. Its description in RNAcentral is "partial 16S ribosomal RNA". It matches the Rfam family "Bacterial small subunit ribosomal RNA", at positions 524 to 776 of the family's 1533-position model. The record is from RNAcentral.